UUUUUUUUUUUAGGAGGAGUGCAACUUCCUGUAAUUCCAGGUUGUGUCGAGUACAGCAUUUUUUCAGCAGAGUGAUCAUGUUCCAAAAGAGAUCUGCCCUGUGUCAAAGAUGAUGUCUGAGAUUGAGGCUUCAGGUGAGUUGAGGAUUGGGACUAGGAGUGGGAGAGUGAGCAGGGUACCGAGUUAAGAGUUAUCAUGGUGGGGUUUUGCAGGCAGUAGGGUGAGAAAUGGUGUCUAUUUGCAAGGCUUUUCACAAGUAUAGCAGAGGCAUCCGUGUGUCAUACAGCACACAAGCUCAUCCACUGAACUCACAGAAAUGCUAUGUAACUUUGCCUCUCUAAACCAGGUGCUACUCAUAAUAACAGCUAAACCUUAGACUAGGGAUGGAACUGGAGACUUGAGCACCCAAGCACACUCAGGAGAGGAUAAGUAUCUGACUUGCUGGGAUUUGGCCCACAUAACACUAAACUCAACCAUUGAUUUUCCUGUUCUUUAUUCUAGCUGAAUAAGAGGCCAACAGGAGAUCCCCUCCGAGGCAGACUCAUUUCAGGUCCAACGUGGAUUCGCAUUUCCAGUCAUCCAAAAGAUAAGUUGGGUCCAUGGCCUGGGGAUGGGAGUAAUGGCCCCCUUCGGCAGCCGAUGGGGAUUUGAAUCCCCAGAUAUGUGCAAGAUAAAUCAAGGGCUACAACCCACAGAGGGGAUGGAAGCGAAGUGCCAGGUUGGGACUCCCCAGGAGGGGUUUUUGAGUCAGUUUUAGAGAUGAGGAUGUCCAAGAAGUGUCUCCUUAGGCCAGCUAAAGGAAAAGUGUCUGUUUUGAUCUCGGUGCUGAGGUGCGCAGGGCAGAGCAGUUCCGGUGUGUGUCCUGUCACUUGUCUCUGGUGCACUCUGUGUUCUUUGGGUCUCCCAGUCCUUUCUUCUUGUGGAAAGCUCUCUCUCCCUGUCUUGUCCCCUCGUUUCUCACGUCCUGUGUCACGGGUGUCUGCACAUAUUUGUCCCGGAGCUGCUCUGCCCUGCUGCAUAGCCUGUAAUAGCACAAGUCCUGGGGACUUGAAAUUGGUAAUGCAGGGUGCAGCUGGGCUCCAAAUUGUAUUAGGAGAUUACCAGAACAUGUUUGGUGGUGUUAAGUUGUCCUGCAGCUGUUUGACAUUAGUCCUAACUUCCUUUCAGAUGCAGACAGUUCAAAUCAGUGCCAGAGGGCCACAGUCCUGGGUGAAGAACUUCCCAUGAGCUGGUCAGUCAUUGUUUGCAUUUACAGGGGAAGCAGCCUAAGUGGUGACUCUGUUACAGCGGUGUUCUUUGCCUUUAUUUUUAGGAGGUCCAGGCAGAUAGCAGCAGUCAAGGCCCAGUGUGCCAGGUGAGCAGUGGAGAGAAGCAGUUGUUCUUGCUCAGGUUUCACUUUUUGGUGCAACUGUAAGCAUCCAUUCUUGUUUUUGUGCUUUAGGGAAUCCACUGGGAGUUUGCAUAUCCCCUGUCAGCAGCUGGCUGAUGGACUGGGUUUGCUGUGCUUGUGAGUCCUCUGGAAGUAUUACAGGACCCUGUGAUGAAGCCUACUGAUUUUGCAUUUCAAGGUCCCAUCCUGGUAACCCAGAGCAGUGGCCAAGGAGUUGUGGUGAGUCAGGGAGGUAGGGAGGAGGAGUGAGAGUCCACUCAAGUUUCAGCAAUGCCAUGUCACCCUUUCUCCACUUAAUCUAGGUGUACCCUGAGAUGAUGCUGUCGGCCUCCAAGCACGCCUGCGGUGUGUGGCCCGACCAUUCUGAGGAGAAUGGUGAGUAGCAGAAUUGUCAGGUUUUGGCCAUUGUGCUGUUACGGUUUCUGUGCACUGAUGUUUGGUUUUCAUUCUCUUGGCAGGCCAAGAAGUGACAGCUGGAACUUACCAGACAGGCAGACGGCCUUCUUCUGCAGCCAACAGGGAUUUGCAUCCCCAGAUAUGUGCAAGAUAAGUCAAGGGCUACAACCCACAGAGGGCAUGGAAGCGAGGUGCCAGGUUGGGAGUCCCCAGGAGGGGUUUUUCAGUUAGUUUUGGAGAUGAG
Molecule: long non-coding RNA, 2030 nt
Organism: Taeniopygia guttata (zebra finch)
Lineage: Eukaryota; Metazoa; Chordata; Aves; Passeriformes; Estrildidae
Source: Ensembl